Molecule: ribosomal RNA, 563 nt
Filed under: Botryosphaeria dothidea
Lineage: Eukaryota; Fungi; Ascomycota; Dothideomycetes; Botryosphaeriales; Botryosphaeriaceae
Description: eukaryotic LSU rRNA
Rfam family: 5.8S ribosomal RNA (bases 190-343)
Source: RNAcentral
GUGGGCUAUCAGGACCUGAUUCGGGCUCGGCCCGAUCCUCCCACCCUUUGUGUACCUACCUCUGUUGCUUUGGCGGGCCGCGGUCCUCCGCGGCCGCCCCCCUCCCCGGGGGGGUGGCCAGCGCCCGCCAGAGGACCAUCAAACUCCAGUCAGUAAACGAUGCAGUCUGAAAAACAUUUAAUAAACUAAAACUUUCAACAACGGAUCUCUUGGUUCUGGCAUCGAUGAAGAACGCAGCGAAAUGCGAUAAGUAAUGUGAAUUGCAGAAUUCAGUGAAUCAUCGAAUCUUUGAACGCACAUUGCGCCCUUUGGUAUUCCGAAGGGCAUGCCUGUUCGAGCGUCAUUACAACCCUCAAGCUCUGCUUGGUAUUGGGCACCGUCCUUUGCGGGCGCGCCUCAAAGACCUCGGCGGUGGCGUCUUGCCUCAAGCGUAGUAGAACAUACAUCUCGCUUCGGAGCGCAGGGCGUCGCCCGCCGGACGAACCUUCUGAACUUUUCUCAAGGUUGACCUCGGAUCAGGUAGGGAUACCCGCUGAACUUAAGCAUAUCAAUAAGCGGAGGAA